UAUGAAAAUAGUAGACCUACACAAGGCCUUUGGUCUGAUUCUCUACUGUUCUCUCCAUAGAGUACUCUCUCACUCCCCAAGAAUACAUAGAAUAAUGAAGACACAUCCUGUGUAGGCUAAUACAUGCAACGAAUAGCCACUGAAAGAUGAAAAUAGGAGACCCAUAUGGGUUUUGAUGGGGAUAACGUCAAAGGGGCAGGCUACACUCAGUAAUACAAUAAAGUGUUACAGCGUUUGUGUUCAGCACAUUCUUUGCUUGUAAUCUGUUAAUUACUCACAGUAACAUUUGACACUUUAUCAUCUUAAUGGUAAUGUUUAGUUGAUGUAUUCAGGCACUAUAACCACUAUCUACUGUAUGUAUGAGGUCCUACAGCUGCGCCACUUGUUACUUCCUGACUGAGUCACUGCUCAACUUGAUUAGAAAAGCCAUACAUGACAAGCGAGGGUGGGGCGCUCUAUGUUGAACCAACACUUUCUCACCAUACACAUGUCUACUGGAAGACCAGUCAUUGUUAUAAGAAUCUCCCACCACCAAAGGACCAAGCAGCAGAGGAAGGAGCAAAGGGAUUUCGAGUUGGACUGGCGGGAGAAAUGGACCUGGGAGGAAGUUCUGGACGGGGCUGGACCUUGGCACCAGGCUGGGGAGUACCGUCGCCCACGGGAGGAAAUUGAGGCAGCCAAGGCAGAGAGGCGGAGGUACGAGGCCUUGGACGCGCUGAGGGAGAAGCACGAGAGGCACCCCCAAUAAUUAUUUUGGGGGGGCACACGGGUAGUUUGGCUAGGCCAAGGAAGAGCCGGAAGCCAGCUACCCGUGGUUAUAUGGAGGAGCGUAUGAGGUGGAGGGCGCCAUGUUUCGCUGAAGAGCGCACUCUCACCCAUACGCACGCACAGUCCAGUGCGCGUUAUUCCAGCCCCUCGCAGGUGCUGUGCUAGAGUGGGCAUCCAGCCUGGUAGGAGGAUGCCUGCGCAGCGCAUCUGGUCGCCGGUACGCCUCCGAGGACCAGGCUACCCAACUCCCGCUCUACGCACGGCUACCAUCAGGCCCCUGCACAGCCCAGUCCACCCUGUACAAACACCCCGCUCGUACAGGGCUACUAGUUCCAUCCAGCCAGGACGGGUUGUGCAGGAGGUAAGAUCAAGACCGCCUGUGCGCCUCCAUAGCCCGGUGUUUCCAGUUCCUGUCUCUCGUGCGGACCCGGAAGUGCGUCAGCCUAGUCCGACUCGUCCUGUUCCCGCUCCCCGCACUAGCCUGGAGGUACGUGUUCCCAGUCUGGUACGUCCAGUACCAGCACCACGCACCAGGCUUCAAGUGCGUCAUCCCAGUCUGACGUCACCAGAGCCGCCCGUCAGUCAAGAGUCGCCAGAGCCGCCCGUCAGUCAAGAGUCGCCAGAGCCGCCCGUCAGUCGAGUCGCCAGAGCCGCCCGUCAGUCAUGAGUCGCCAAAGCCGCCCACUAGUCAGGAGCCGCCAAAGCCGCCAGACUGCCCGGAGCUGCCAGAGUGGCCAGACUGCCCGGAGCUGCCAGAGUGGCCAGACUGCCCGAAGCUGCCAGAGUGGCCAGACUGCCCGGACCUGCCAGAGUGGCCCAUCGGCCCAGAGUCUAGCAACAACCUUGAACUGAUGGGAGGAGUCGGAGUGACCAGCCAGUAACCAGUACAUGGAUACAGCCAACUGUGCUUUCUCAGAUCCUUCACCAUCAAGGAUAGAGCAGAAAGACACCAGCAGUGAAAUCAACACAAACUACUACACCAACAAUCACCAAUAUGGCAACAUAGAAGCUGAAGGGAAUGACGGCCCCAUUCGAGUGUGAUGGUGGAGAUGAUUCAGUCUAUGGUAACGUGUGAACACAACAGGAAGCAUGUGGAAGUCAGCUGGCCCAGAGCCCAUGGUACUCAGUCUGUCAAAGGUUUCAGUAAAAUAUUAUGUAGCAGAACUGGUGACUGCUUAUAUUUGUUAGCUUGAUGUAGCUUUAUGGUUCUAAUGACAAAAGAAUAUGGUACAUUCUUAUUUGGGCUGUGGCUUUGUUAUAGCUUUUACAAGGCUUAUGUUUAUUAUCUGUGGCUUGGGUAAUUCAGAAAUGUUUUUUACUAAAUGUCAUUUAUACACAAUACAAACCAGUAUUUAGCUAUAUCUCCUUUCACACUUCCCAGAUGUCUGUUGAAAUUGUGUCUUGAGGGUAAUCUGAGGAUAGAAUACGAGUGUGGGACUUUCAGUUCCUCCAUUUGGGGUUGCUCUUUCAUUUAUUGAGAUGUUCAACGUCUGUUUAUUUCCAUAGGGUUUGAGUUAUUUCACAAUACUGAUUUUGUCAAUAUACUGCCGCAUUAGGUUUUUUGACCCUCUAUAAUAACAUACCAGUAACAGUUAUGCAAAUCAGAUUAUAAUGCAUUUGAAUUAGGUUAUGAUUGU
RNAcentral lists this long non-coding RNA (2405 nucleotides) under Salmo salar (Atlantic salmon). Its description in RNAcentral is "lncRNA (ENSSSAG00000090327.1, ENSSSAG00020068409.1)". The record is from RNAcentral. Lineage: Eukaryota; Metazoa; Chordata; Actinopteri; Salmoniformes; Salmonidae.